UGCAACAAAUUUUGCUGGCACAGCGUACAAAAAUAUAUGCCAGCCUAGCAAGGAUGCCAGAAAGGAUUGGAGCGAGUGAGCAGAUUGCGAAAGGAUAUUUCACUUUAUUGGCAAAGUCAAAGAUGGAAUGCGUUUAUACUCGUAGUUGCAGGAUACAGGACGGCAAGUGACAACGACAAGUUAUUGUCACACUCCGCCAUUGAUGUCGUCCAGCUCAGACACAUCAAGCGGCAGGCCGAUAGUGCCCCUUUCAUGCCGAUGGAAACAAAGCAUUCACCCUGCGACAUGGACUCGAGGGGCGCCAGGAGCUAAGUCUUCGCCUUUCCCAACCAUUGCAUCUGGUUUUACAACAAUCGAUACAUGAAUGAGGGUCAUUACCGAGUCUACAAGAUGGGGGCGUUCCUUUUCGGCCAGUAUUACGAACAGUAUAACCGAUCCGCACACCUAUGACUUCAUCCUUAAAUAAAUAGUAGAGCCAACAAAACUGUUUACAUAAAUUGCAUCUUUUUGAGUACGCUUCUAAUUUAAACUGUUCGGGAAAAAGCUCCUUUAAACGCAUCCGAUCUUUAGGAUAUUUCUUUAAAUGCAUUAUAAUUGUGAUACAUUCCGAAAUACACAUUAAUAUUUUAAAUGGAGAAGCAUUGAGCCAUAUGUCUGAAUCAACUCAAUCUCAUAUACAUAUAUCAUAACAAUCAUAUGACACCUAAUAAUCAUGGCUAAAAUACUGUUCUUUGUGGUUUUGGCUGUAAUGUGGUGCGCCGGGAACUCGAGAAGUAUUCCCAUUCCUUCAGAGCCUAGUGCCCUGGUCAGCAAGAAAAACUCAACCCAAAAUAACACACUCGAAGAUACUUCACCGAAAAUUACCAAGUUUGAUUCGCCAGCUAUAAAAUCUGUUGUUAUACAUAUUCCCAGACAACGACGACAAGAAUGGGAACCGACCAUUCCAUUUAAUUUCUUAUACGCACACUCGCCCUGCGAUUUCGACGCUUCUCCGAUAGUACAUACAUACGGAUACGAUUUCUGGACUUCACUGCCUGAACGUGGUUGUCUGUGGAUUUUUAGCCAGAGGUUCGCCUCCGAGGGGUUCUACCGUAUCUUCUCUCUAUUUAGGUUGGAGGGGUUCUUUUUCGGCAUGUAUAUGGAGCGGUUGUUUCGAUAUGAGUACGACAUUCACUAUUUUGAUUACGAAGAUAUUGUUAUCCAACCAAAGCCGGCGAAGUGAGCGCUCUAAACCGUUUACUCUUCUUCCAAUAAUCUUCAAAUCUUUUAUCGAUAAAAUCGAUGACAUACAUUUGGUCGUUAUGGUCUUUCCUAG
This is a long non-coding RNA of Drosophila ananassae, 1315 nucleotides long. RefSeq lists it as uncharacterized. The transcript has 2 exons. The record is from RefSeq and is a predicted model, not a curated record. Lineage: Eukaryota; Metazoa; Arthropoda; Insecta; Diptera; Drosophilidae.